AAAAAGACAAACCCUGGUUUCCGUGCCCAACAUUUGACCGUCCGUCUUAUUUGAAAAAAUUUUUAAAAAAAUUAAAAAGACAAGUCACGUAUAAAAUAUUAAUUAUGUUUUAUCAUCUAACAACAAUGAAAAUACGAAUUAUAAAAAAAAUUUCAUAUAAGACGGAUAGUCAAAGUUGGACACGCAAACCCAGGGUUUGCCUUUUU
RNAcentral lists this microRNA precursor (206 nucleotides) under Oryza glumipatula. RNAcentral describes it as "MIR812 microRNA precursor family". It matches the Rfam family "MIR812 microRNA precursor family". The record is from Rfam by way of RNAcentral. Lineage: Eukaryota; Viridiplantae; Streptophyta; Magnoliopsida; Poales; Poaceae.